UAAUGUAUGGGGAUCUGCCCGAUAGAGGGGGAUAACUACUGGAAACGGUGGCUAAUACCGCAUAAUGUCUACGGACCAAAGCAAGGGCUCUUCGGACCUUGCACUAUCGGAUGAACCCAUAUGGGAUUAGCUAGUAGGUGGGGUAAAGGCUCACCUAGGCGACGAUCUCUAGCUGGUCUGAGAGGAUGAUCAGCCACACUGGGACUGAGACACGGCCCAG
RNAcentral lists this ribosomal RNA (220 nucleotides) under uncultured bacterium. RNAcentral's name for it is "partial 16S ribosomal RNA". It matches the Rfam family "Bacterial small subunit ribosomal RNA", at positions 111 to 334 of the family's 1533-position model. The record is from RNAcentral.